UUAAAUGCCACAACUAAACGCCUCUUAAACACCUCCAGCAAUGGUGACUCCACCACCUCCCCGGGUAGCCUAUUCCAAAGCCUGACCACCUGAACAGUGAAACAUUUGUUUCUAGUAUCUAAUCUAAAUCUCCCAUC
This is a long non-coding RNA of Corvus hawaiiensis (hawaiian crow), 137 nucleotides long. RefSeq lists it as uncharacterized. The transcript is spliced from 3 exons. The record is from RefSeq and is a predicted model, not a curated record. NCBI's taxonomy places the organism in Eukaryota, Metazoa, Chordata, Aves, Passeriformes, Corvidae.